CCUACGGGUGGCAGCAGUGAGGAAUAUUGGUCAAUGGACGCAAGUCUGAACCAGCCAAGUAGCGUGCAGGAUGACGGCCCUCCGGGUUGUAAACUGCUUUUAGUUGGGAAUAAAAGGGGGCUCGUGAGCCCCGUAUUGUAUGUACCAUCAGAAAAAGGACCGGCUAAUUCCGUGCCAGCAGCCGCGGUAAUACGGAAGGUCCGGGCGUUAUCCGGAUUUAUUGGGUUUAAAGGGAGCGUAGGUGGAUUGUUAAGUCAGUUGUGAAAGUUUGCGGCUCAACCGUAAAAUUGCAGUUGAAACUGGCAGGCUGGAGUACAGUAGAGGUGGGCGGAAUUCGUGGUGUAGCGGUGAAAUGCUUAGAUAUCACGAAGAACUCCGAUUGCGAAGGCAGCUCACUGGACUGCAACUGACACUGAGGCUCGAAAGUGUGGGUAUCAAACAGGAUUAGAUACCCUUGUAGUC
RNAcentral lists this ribosomal RNA (462 nucleotides) under uncultured bacterium. RNAcentral describes it as "partial 16S ribosomal RNA". It matches the Rfam family "Bacterial small subunit ribosomal RNA", at positions 338 to 795 of the family's 1533-position model. The record is from RNAcentral.